GAUGAACGCUAGCGGGAGGCUUAAACAUGCAAGUCGAGGGGCAGCAUAGGGUAGCAAUACUCUGAUGGCGACCGGCAAACGGGUGAGUAACGCGUAUGUAACCUACCCUGUACAGGGGGAUAACCCGGAGAAAUUCGGACUAAUAUCCCAUAACAAUAUCCGGGGGCAUCUUUGGAUAGUUUAAAGUUCCGGCGGUACGGGAUGGGCAUGCGUAACAUUAGCUAGUUGGUAAGGUAACGGCUUACCAAGGCUUUGAUGUUUAGGGGUCCUGAGAGGGUGGUCCCCCACACUGGUACUGAGACACGGACCAGACUCCUACGGGAGGCAGCAGUGAGGAAUAUUGGUCAAUGGGCGCAAGCCUGAACCAGCCAUCCCGCGUGCAGGAAGACGGCGCUAUGCGUUGUAAACUGCUUUUCCAGGGAGAGAAACUUGCGCACGUGUUGCGCAAUUGACGGUACCCUGGGAAUAAGCAUCGGCUAACUCCGUG
This 487-nucleotide ribosomal RNA is filed under the name uncultured bacterium. RNAcentral describes it as "bacterial SSU rRNA". It matches the Rfam family "Bacterial small subunit ribosomal RNA", at positions 28 to 507 of the family's 1533-position model. The record is from RNAcentral.